AGUACUGUAAUGCUCAGGUCACCCGUUCGAUCCGGGUAGGGGGGA
This 45-nucleotide transfer RNA is filed under the name Polymyxa betae. RNAcentral describes it as "tRNA-Tyr". The record is from RNAcentral. Lineage: Eukaryota; Endomyxa; Phytomyxea; Plasmodiophorida; Plasmodiophoridae.